RNAcentral lists this ribosomal RNA (372 nucleotides) under uncultured organism. Its description in RNAcentral is "bacterial SSU rRNA". It matches the Rfam family "Bacterial small subunit ribosomal RNA", at positions 526 to 896 of the family's 1533-position model. The record is from RNAcentral.
CAGAGGUCUCAAGCGUUGUUCGGAUUCAUUGGGCGUAAAGGGUGCGUAGGUGGUGGGGUAAGUCAGGUGUGAAAUCUCGGGGCUCAACCCCGAAACUGCACUUGGUACUGCCUUACUGGAGUACUGGAGAGGAGAUUGGAAUUUACGGUGUAGCAGUGAAAUGCGUAGAUAUCGUAAGGAAGACCAGUGGCGAAGGCGAAUCUCUGGACAGUUACUGACACUGAGGCACGAAGGCCAGGGGAGCAAACGGGAUUAGAUACCCCGGUAGUCCUGGCAGUAAACGGUGCGCGUUUGGUGUGGGAGGAUUCGACCCCUUCUGUGCCGGAGCUAACGCGUUAAACGCGCCGCCUGGGGAGUACGGUCGCAAGAUUA